UAAACUCCCCCAUGGUUGAAAAAGCCAAAAUUCCUGCAAUGGCACCAGCCUCUUAGGCACAUAUUUACCAGAUGGGUUUUCCUAGUCCUCUCAGUAUCUCUCACUGCCAUUGAAGGGAUGGAGGAAAUACUACCUAUACUGUGCCAUCAACUAACCAACCCAAUUCCCUGAAGCCUCUUUUGAUAGUCUUCAAGCUUCUCUUAGCAACUUCAUUGCUGUCAGCCUAAACUAUCAGUAAAGGGUAAUAAUCAGAGAGUCAAACUCUGAGAGAAAUCUUCCAUUGCAUCCCCACUUACCUAUUCCUCAAGAUCCAGAAUCUCAGACCUAUUACAUAGGGCCACCUGGGAAAUCAAGUUAGGCAGGAAGAAGAUUUACCUGUGAUGCCAAGUUGAGACCUGUUUCCUUUCCUACCCAUCUCUUGGGUCCCCUAUCUCUUCCUAGUGGUGACAGGGCAGAGGGUCCACUGCUAUUUAGAGUGUAACACCCCAGUGCCUUUCUCAUAGGUAUGACAGGGAGUCCACCAGUCUGUCUCCUGCUCACAAUCCCUUAUGUUCCUUAACCUUUCCAUCUCUUCCUUGAGUUCUGCCACCAGGCUGAGCAGAUCCUGCUGACACAUCACACAGGUGGUAUUGCCUCCCUCCAUUAGCAGCAACAGGCUCAGGUGCUCCCUGCAGCCAGAGACCUGAGCAGCUAGCCACAUUCUUGCACAGGUUCUGGGUCACCACUGCUGGAAGGUUCAUCUCAAAUGGUCUGUGCCAUGCUGAUUUCCCUUCCUGCUUGCUGUGCUCUGAUGGGACCACCUAUAUGGGGGGUUUCACUCCCAGUUCCAUCCACACUGCAUCAGCAUUGCUGUGUCUCAGGGUCCCUGGGUGCAAGGCUCCACUGCAAAGUUGAUCUGCAUGAGAUCUUCACUGAAGUCAAAGACUUAAAAGGACUUUAAAUGUUUUAAAAUGUACCAUACUACAUUUUAUUUACCAAGGAUCAUGCCAUGACUUUUUCCUGUAGUAGAUGACACCUUAUUUCCACUCUACUCUUCAGCUAUUUCAAGUGUUAAGGCAUGUGUCUGUCAUUUCCCUUGUUUUGUUUUUUGUUUUUUACUGGGGCUUUAUGUAAUCCCCUGUGUGAGAGGGAGCAGGUAGAUCUCUGUAAUCAAAAUGGGGAAUAAAUUUAGGGCAGACUAAUGAGGACAAACCAUUUCUUCAAAACUCCUAGAGCUCUCAAGGUCUUCUUGUCACACUUAAAUGAAAUUUGUUCCAGAUUGCUGUUAAAUUUAUAUUAUAGAUAAGCCCAGAAAUCAAUGCAGUAAUUCGAGGUCCUGUCUUUCUGUGAUCUUUGCAGAAUGUCUACACAGUGCUUGCUGGAAGAUCCAUACCAUAUCUUUAUUCAUAGCACGAUGUAGAUAUGAACCUCAUGUCUGCAGAGUAGCUGUGUAUUAAAUUAGUUCAUUGACUUUUUGACACUUUGUCUGAUAUGGCUGUAAACAUCUUUCUGGAGCUCCUUUUUUAACUGGGUAUCAGCCCACUCAUGAAUUUCUCAGUCUAAACAAACUCUGCAAAGAGUACUGGCAGCCUGGCCUGAUCAGGUAACAGAUCUCAUUCAGUCUCUGGGAAUAUUGCUAAUUCCAGAUAUCUGGCCAUUUGCUUCUAAUGGGCCUGUCCUUUUUCCAUUAACUAUUAGCCUGUUUGCAAUUCCUCUAUAUUUUUCAUUGUUAUAUAAUAUUCACUGUACAAGAUGUUUCCAAUGGCUGUGCUGGUGGAGUAAUAUUUUUACAUGCAAUUGGUAGAAGUGUGCUGCUUGGCAUCAACAAUGCAGGGCAGCAGAGAUUUACUACUGGCUGAUGUGGAAAUAGGGAUUAAUCUACUAUUCUCAAAUUCAAACUAAUCUUCCCUCUAGCCCUCUAGAACUAAUUUUUAUCCCUUUAUUAUAUCAAAUUGUUUUGAAAAUCAUGUUUCUGAUUUAUCAUUUGAUGUGGUGAUCACUAAAGAACCAGAUCUCCUGAUCACCAUGUAUUAUUUCCAACUUUUUUCAUAGUCGGAGAAAUCAUUCUGAUUUUUUCUGCUGUUCAGUUGUGGCCAUUUCCCUCCUUUGAAAUGCAAAUAUUUCCAUUGAUGUAAAUAAUGAGUUCUUAAUAACUUUCUAUGUUUUGUUAGUACUCUAUGAUGCAGGACAGAUUAUUGUUACUGUUAGUUUAUGUAAAUAUACUUGGUUUUUAACCCACUGAUUAUGUCCAGAUUAUAUUUUAAGCAUCAGUUU
Molecule: long non-coding RNA, 2253 nt
Filed under: Meleagris gallopavo (turkey)
Lineage: Eukaryota; Metazoa; Chordata; Aves; Galliformes; Phasianidae
Description: lncRNA (ENSMGAG00000017526.1)
Source: RNAcentral